GAGGCCUUAGCUUAAUUAAAGUACUUGAUUUGCAAUCAAGAGAUGCGAGUUAAUUUCUUGCAGGUCUUA
Molecule: transfer RNA, 69 nt
Filed under: Barbonymus schwanefeldii (tinfoil barb)
Lineage: Eukaryota; Metazoa; Chordata; Actinopteri; Cypriniformes; Cyprinidae
Description: tRNA-Ala
Rfam family: tRNA
About the family: Transfer RNA (tRNA) molecules are approximately 80 nucleotides in length. Their secondary structure includes four short double-helical elements and three loops (D, anti-codon, and T loops).
Source: RNAcentral